This 305-nucleotide ribosomal RNA is filed under the name uncultured bacterium. Its description in RNAcentral is "partial 16S ribosomal RNA". It matches the Rfam family "Bacterial small subunit ribosomal RNA", at positions 505 to 809 of the family's 1533-position model. The record is from RNAcentral.
ACAGCAGCAGCCGCGGGAAUACAGAGGGUGCGAGCGUUAAUCGGAUUUACUGGGCGUAAAGCGUGCGUAGGCGGCUUCUUAAGUCGGAUGUGAAAUCCCUGAGCUUAACUUAGGAAUUGCAUUCGAUACUGGGAAGCUAGAGUAUGGGAGAGGAUGGUAGAAUUCCAGGUGUAGCGGUGAAAUGCGUAGAGAUCUGGAGGAAUACCGAUGGCGAAGGCAGCCAUCUGGCCUAAUACUGACGCUGAGGUACGAAAGCAUGGGGAGCAAACAGGAUUAGAUACCCCAGUAGUCCCUGUCUCUUAUAA